Sinocyclocheilus rhinocerous is the source of this 308-nucleotide long non-coding RNA. RefSeq lists it as uncharacterized. The record is from RefSeq and is a predicted model, not a curated record. Lineage: Eukaryota; Metazoa; Chordata; Actinopteri; Cypriniformes; Cyprinidae. The transcript has 2 exons.
UUGGACAGUUCUGCAGUUCGUGUAUCAUCUUCUCCAGCCCUGCCUGAGAUUGGGAUCCUGAGCCCCAGUCCAGACCCUCUUCCUCCACCACUGCCAAACCUGCUUAACCUCUGUUUGCCAGAUCACGGCCAGGAGGACGAGUUCAUUCCUGAGGUGGAGCUGAAAGUUUCUUUGGUGAAGUCUGAUAAAGGAAGUUUAGGUUUCACUCUUACCAAAGGGAACGACAACAGUUGUUACAUCCAUGACAUUAUCCAGGACCCAGCUAAAGGAGACGGCCGACUGCGUCCAGGGGAUCGCAUGAUAAUGGU